Molecule: long non-coding RNA, 207 nt
Filed under: Marmota monax (woodchuck)
Lineage: Eukaryota; Metazoa; Chordata; Mammalia; Rodentia; Sciuridae
Source: RNAcentral
CCCAGGGCCUGCUUCCCGGAGCUGGGUUCUUCCCCAGGACUGAUGAUUCACACCACUGGGGCCUUUUCACUUCUCCUUUGGGCUAAAAAUACAGGGACCCAGGCAUCCAGCUGGGCCAGGCUGCCCCACAGAUUGCACAAUGGCCCACAUUGGUGUUCCGCUGACGCAGGGCCUGGGGACAGGCGGGGGCCUGGGUUGCUCCCCAAU